This 243-nucleotide ribosomal RNA is filed under the name uncultured bacterium. Its description in RNAcentral is "partial 16S ribosomal RNA". It matches the Rfam family "Bacterial small subunit ribosomal RNA", at positions 791 to 1035 of the family's 1533-position model. The record is from RNAcentral.
UAGUCCGUGCCGUAAACGAUGAGUGCUAGGUGUCGGGGGUCAAACCUCGGUGCCGGAGUUAACAUAUUAAGCACUCCGCCUGGGGGUACGUUCGCAAGAAUGAAACUCAAAGGAAUUGACGGGGACCCGCACAAGCAGCGGAGCAUGUGGUUUAAUUCGAAGCAACGCGAAGAACCUUACCAGGACUUGACAUCCCUCUGACCGGUAUAGAGAUAUACCCUUCCCUUCGGGGACAGAGGUGAC